Molecule: ribosomal RNA, 494 nt
Filed under: uncultured bacterium
Lineage: Bacteria
Description: partial 16S ribosomal RNA
Rfam family: Bacterial small subunit ribosomal RNA
Source: RNAcentral
GACGAACGCUGGCGGCGCGCUUAACACAUGCAAGUCGAACGGAAAGGCCUGCUUUCCCUUGUGGAUUGCGGGUACUCGAGUGGCGAACGGGUGAGUAACACGUGAGUGAUCUGCCCCCAACUUGGGUAUAAGCCUGGGAAACUGGGUCUAAUUCCCGAUAGGGCUGCAGGGUGGUGCCUGUGGUGGAAAACGAUUUUCUAGUGGUUGGGGAUGAGCUCGCGGCCUAUCAGCUUGUUGGUGGGGUAAUGGCCUACCAAGGCGGCGACGGGUCGCCGGCCUGAGAGGGUGGACGGCCACAUUGGGACUGAGAUACGGCCCAGACGCCGACGGGAGGCAGCAGUGGGGAAGAUUGCACAAUGGGCGGAAGCCUGAUGCAGCGACGCCGCGUGGGGGAUGACGGCCUUCGGGUUGUAAACUCCUUUCGACCGCGAGGAAGCCACCUGGUUGGAAGGGUGGUGACGGUAGUGGUAGAAGAAGCACCGGCUAACUACGUG